Molecule: ribosomal RNA, 711 nt
Filed under: Triticum aestivum (bread wheat)
Lineage: Eukaryota; Viridiplantae; Streptophyta; Magnoliopsida; Poales; Poaceae
Description: partial small subunit ribosomal RNA
Source: RNAcentral
AUGCUUGGAAGCAUCGACUGCAUGCAUUGGAAAUGGAAGAAUUGCCCAUUUGCUUGGCAGGGGAUGUACAAAGGCGCCAAAGGCGGUUGCAGUGUGGUACUUGAGGCGGUGGCCACACAGGACCUCUGGAUUUGGCACUCCUUCUUUGGUAUGCCAGGAACUCACAAUGACAUCAACGUGUUGCAGUGCUCUCCUGUCUUUGCCAAGCUUGUUGAAGGUCAUUCUCCUCCGGUGAACUUCGAGAUCAAUGGGCGGCACUACAACAAGGGGUACUAUCUAGCUGAUGGCAUCUAUCCGAGAUGGUCGGCAUUUGUGAAGACCAUCAAAAACCCUGUGCCUGGAGGCAAGAACGCCUGGUUUGCGAAGAUUCAGGAGGCUUGCAGGAAGGAUGUCGAGCGGGCAUUUGGUGUGCUCCAAUCUCGAUUUGCUGUUGUCCGGUACCCCGCUCAGACCUGGUCGAAAGAUCAAAUGUGGGAGAUCAUGACCUGCUGUGUCAUCUUGCACAACAUGAUCAUUGAGAGCGAGCAGGAAGAGCCAGUGUUUGACACUGAACCAUACCACAGGCAGGGUCCUCUUGCCCAAGUUGAUCACCAGCUACCAGCAACCUGGACUGCCUACCUCAGUAUGCGUCAGGAGAUCCGAGACCCACAGGUGCAUCAUCAACCGCAGCAAGAUCUGAUAGAGCACCUAUGGAGGCUCAAGGGCGACACC